Petromyzon marinus (sea lamprey) is the source of this 2852-nucleotide non-coding RNA. The record is from RefSeq and is a predicted model, not a curated record. Lineage: Eukaryota; Metazoa; Chordata; Hyperoartia; Petromyzontiformes; Petromyzontidae.
CUCCCCCUCGUGACCCGCCCCCUCACCCCCCAUGCCCCGCCCCCCUCCCCCGCUGCUACUUCCGCUUAGGCCGGGGCCGAGUGGAGGCGGCGCGCGCUGUGGAUUGUGGGUGGCGAGCGGCUGAUUUGGAUUCCCGCUCACGGCCACCGUCAGUGGCUCGCGAAAGCUUCUGAAGCGGCGGCUCGCUGGGCCUCCUCUACGUCGACUCAGCCUGAAGGGGCUCAGGCUUGUUGGGGCAGCAUCUGGCUGAAAUGCACCUUCACAACAGGAAGAUUGGAGAGAGGCUUCACAAGGAAGAGAAAACUAUCGCUGAAUGAGUGGCAGGAGGACUGGGUGACGUUCUUCUCACGGCAGCGACUGCAGCUUCAGCUGGACAUGAUAGAGAAGGACUACGGUGAACGGGAAACCCGCGAGCUCUGGUCUCGGCUUCAGCUUCGGUUGGGGGAAUUUUUUCCGGGACGUAGAGGUGGUUCCGGCACUGCUCCACGGUGACCUAUGGACUGGGAACGCUGCAGAGAUUAAUGAAGGGCCCGUCAUCUUUGACCCAGCCUCCUUCUAUGGGCACUCGGAGUACGAGCUUGCCAUCGCUGGGAUGUUCCAGGAGCUUUAGCUCCACGCUUCACUCAUCCUACCACGCUCUCAUCCCAAAGUCACAAGGCUUCGGCAAGAGCCAGAAGCUCUAGCAACUCUUCCACUACCUGAACCACUGGAAUCACUUUGGGACAGGAUACCGAGGGUCAUCCAUCUCCACCAUGCGCAGUCUCCUUAAGUGAAUGAACGGUGAUGCAAUUGGUGUGCCAACACCUCCAGAUGCAGUUCCUGAAGGAAGUGGGCAUUCGGGACAUGUUCGUUUUGCCUGUGAUGAAUGAGUUUGUCCGAACACACAGGGAAGUCAGCCUGUUCAUCGAGAAUUUCUGAGGAGCCAAAGACCAAGCUGGAAUAUUGCAAGGGAGGUGAGCCUGCACCAACAAUUGCCCUGCAUUUCUAUAUAUGUUCAGAUGUUGCCAGCCAAUUAGUGAGUGUGUAUAUAUGUGGAAGGAAACUGGAGCACACAGAUAAGUCACUGCUGAGUGCAUUAAUCACCCUUUGUGAGAUUUGACGCAGCAUGUAAUUAAAAUAUAUUUCCAAUUUGUCUUCGGGUGAUUUUGUAGGUGUUUGUUUUAAGCAAGAGGAGAGUGGAGUUUUAAUGCCAUGUCCUGAAUGGGCCUUCCAUUACAAAGUCCUCAUUCAGGAUCCCAGUCCCACAACAUUUCAAGCCUCCCUCUCAGUUCUACUGCUCUUUGCACUGAACAUUUAAACCUACUUAUUGGGCCUUCUGAUAUGCCCUCUUUGGUAUCAUGACAUGCCAUUUCCUAUACUGGAUCAUUGUAAUCAUCGCUCCAUCAUGCCUCCUUGUCAGUCAGUAAACUUCUAACAUUGGUGUCGUGUGUGUCUGUUGCAGGGAUACUCUGGGGGGCCCUUUCUUUGCCAGGACUCAAACGGCCGCUGGUUGCUUUCUGGAAUCACCAGCUGGGGUGUUGGCUGUGCACGGGCAUACCAGCCAGGUGUCUAGCGCACAGUCGCCAAGUUCAUGGACUGGAUUCACCAGAACAUGCAGUAGUCUCUUACACAUUUCUGCACAAGCAGAAUACUAUAGAUCAGGGAUAUAAAUAUUAUGGGAACUAUACAUCAAAAUAAUUAAUUAAGGCAAUAAAUAUAUUUUUCUAAAACUGAUUUAAAGUUAAUGUUAAAAGGUUAAUUUAAUGAGCUGAAUACUAUAUUUUAACUGCACCAUAAUGCAAAAAAGAUUUCCAAGUGAACACGGAUUUUGGGUCAAAUCAGAAAAGUAUUUUUUUUACAUGCGUUGUCAAUAGCGUUUUUAUCUUUUGGGUUUGCCACACAUGUCAACGGGCCUGGCAAAGCAAACAUGAGCAUGAUGUUGGCAUUGGCAGGAGAUGAAGACAGAGCUUGCUAUUUUUCAAUGUUGCUUAAUUCUUUCAAAACUGACACAAUGGACAAUGAAUGCACUGUCUAAAUAUUUGGCCCAACCUGAUUAUACAUGCUAGCAAAGUGAGUGUUGUCCAAACUACGUAUGAUACAUUUAUAUUCUUGUUAUAUUUUGACCUGGGUCAUCAACUCGCAUCUCCCAUACAUUAAUUGCCAUGGAUGUUGAGCAGUAGGGGUACUCAGAGGGGGUCUAUUGGCCUUCUAGGGGACCACUGCAAUGAUCGGGGCAUCCAGAAGGGAUGAUGAGUUCCACAGGGAGAACGUCCUUCAGAGGUUGUCUUAGAGUGUCCAUGGCAAGGUUAUUGGUGAUUACCUUCACCUCCCCCGGUCAACACAGUCCAUGAGUUUGUGAGUUUUGCUUUACUAACGACAUGAAAACAAGACUGGUUUGCACAAGGAGCCUGCAAAAAAUUUAAUUUAGAAAACCUCAUGAAAUGUGAUGCAUGGCACUUAUCUGAGACGCCCCUUAUCUGAGAAGCCCCUGUGUAAAUGGCGUGAUAUCAAGACCAUUAUUAUCAUAGUGAACUACAUGACGCGUGUAAGAAAACUAUAUAAACAUCUAUUGGAAACAUUUCAUGAAAAUAUGUACAAAAAUGAACACUUUAAUAGUGUUUCAUGGUAUUCCAAAAAUCAUAGCAUAUUUGAUUGGUUAAGAUGGUUUACUCGUUGGGAUGAUAAAUGGCAAUGAUCCUUCAUCAUGUAAAAGACUGUAAGCUGCUUUCAAAAAUAUAUAUUUUUUGAAGAUCGUAUUCACACUCUGCAACAGUCUAUUUUCCACAUCAAACCAUAAUGUGUCUGUCGACUGCAAUUGGAAAUUGAUGCAUGCUUAGUAGCAAUCGGGUAAAUAAACAUUGAAAUGUGUCACA